UGGCGAUUCUCUGAGAUGUGCACACACAGGAACUUGGUGCUGCUUCCCCUCCACGGCAGCACCAUUGAUGAGACAGAAAUUCAGCUGCAGUCGACUCAGCAGUGAGAACUGAAGAUGUCAGUUAUGAACAAACAUACAUCAGAACAAGGAGGCCCAGACUUCAAACCAGUGCCAGACGUCGUCUACUCUUCACUGAAGUAGUUCACCAGUACAACCACUGACGUCCAGCUGCUGGUCUCUAACUGGUCCCCCAGCACCUCAGACCAGAGGACAUCCACAUGUUAUUUAUUAAUUUCUUAAUUUCCUCUAGAACCUGUAAAAGCGUUCCGUAUAAGUUCUCUGCAGGAUCAAUAAA
This is a long non-coding RNA of Oreochromis niloticus (Nile tilapia), 355 nucleotides long. RefSeq lists it as uncharacterized. Lineage: Eukaryota; Metazoa; Chordata; Actinopteri; Cichliformes; Cichlidae. The transcript is spliced from 3 exons. The record is from RefSeq and is a predicted model, not a curated record.